This 655-nucleotide ribosomal RNA is filed under the name uncultured archaeon. RNAcentral's name for it is "bacterial SSU rRNA". It matches the Rfam family "Archaeal small subunit ribosomal RNA", at positions 102 to 757 of the family's 1478-position model. The record is from RNAcentral.
GGAUAACCUACCCUUAGGACCGGGAUAACCUUGGGAAACUGAGGAUAAUACUGGAUAGGCAAUUAUUCCUGGAAUGGUUUUUUGUUUAAAUGUUUUUUCGCCUGAGGAUGGGUCUGCGGCCGAUUAGGUAGUUGGUUAGGUAACGGCUUACCAAGCCAUUGAUCGGUACGGGUUGUGAGAGCAAGAGCCCGGAGAUGGAACCUGAGACAAGGUUCCAGGCCCUACGGGGUGCAGCAGGCGCGAAACCUCCGCAAUGUGAGAAAUCGCGACGGGGGGAUCCCAAGUGCCAUUCUUAACGGGAUGGCUUUUCAUUAGUGUAAAGAGCUUUUGGAAUAAGGGCUGGGCAAGACCGGUGCCAGCCGCCGCGGUAACACCGGCAGCUCUAGUGGUAACAAUUUUUAUUGGGCCUAAAGCAUCCGUAGCCGGUUUAAUAAGUCUCUGGUGAAAUCCUGUAGCUUAACUGUGGGAAUUGCUGGAGAUACUAUUAGACUUGAGACCGGGAGAGGUUAGAGGUACUCCCAGGGUAGAGGUGAAAUUCUGUAAUCCUGGGAGGACCGCCUGUUGCGAAGGCGUCUAGCUGGAACGAUUCUGACGGUGAGGGACGAAAGUUAGGGGCGCGAACCGGAUUAGAUACCCGGGUAGUCCUAACUGUAAA